This 251-nucleotide ribosomal RNA is filed under the name uncultured bacterium. Its description in RNAcentral is "partial 16S ribosomal RNA". It matches the Rfam family "Bacterial small subunit ribosomal RNA", at positions 524 to 776 of the family's 1533-position model. The record is from RNAcentral.
UACGUAGGUCCCGAGCGUUGUCCGGAUUUAUUGGGCGUAAAGCGAGCGCAGGUGGUUUAUUAAGUCUGGUGUAAAAGCAGUGGCUCAACCAUUGUAUGCAUUGGAAACUGGUAGACUUGAGUGCAGGAGAGGAGAGUGGAAUUCCAUGUGUGGCGGUGAAAUGCGUAGAUAUAUGGAGGAACACCGGUGGCGAAAGCGGCUCUCUGGCCUGUAACUGACACUGAGGCUCGAAAGCGUGGGGAGCAAACAGG